AUCUGCGCCUGCGCGGCGCCGGAGCCCUGGAUCUGGCCGAGCAGCUCGCCCACCUCUUCCUGGUGGUGGCGCCGCAGGUAGCCGCACUCCUCCUGCAGCGCCUGCGCCUUCUUCUGCAGGUCCACGCGCGCCGCCUCGGCCUCCUGCGCGAAGCGCGCCAGCGCGCGGGCCGCCGCCUCGGCCUCCUCUCGCUGCCGGGCCUCGUCGUCUAGGCGCUGGCGCACGUGCGCGAUGUCCUCGAGCAGGUGCUCCUGCUCCAGGCGUAGCUGACCGCGCGCCGCGCCCAGGCGCAGCACCGCGCCGCGCAUCUCGCGGACCUCGCGCUCGUACAGCUCGCCCAUAGCGGAGCGGCCCGCCUGCUGCUGCCGCAGCGCCGCAGCCUCGCCCUCCAGGCUGCGGUUGUGCGCCUCCAGCUGCCGCACCUUGUCGAUGUACCCGGCGAAGCGGUCGUUCAGCGCCUGCAGCUGCUCCUUCUCACUGCGUGAGGUGGCCACCGCCACCAUGCAGCCCUCCGGCCCGUUGCUCAGCGUGUCCAGCGAGUCGGUGCUUGAGGCGGCGCCUGCGCCACGGAAGCGGCUGGGCGAGGCGGACACGGAGCUCACGGACGUCCGUGUCCACGAGUGGAAGCCGCUGGAGGAGCCAGCGGCGGAGCGCGUCCCGCCUGCGCCACCCUUUCGGGCUAGCGCGUAGUGGAGGCUGCCGCCGCCAUGCAGCGGCGCGAACGGGGCGCCCAGCAGCGCGUCCGCGCCGCCGAAGCUCAUCAUGGCCUGAGCAGGUGCGCGAGGCCGGGACGGGGCGGGAGGCACUGCGGCAGCACCAGGGCGCCGGCCCUUUUAUAGCCGCCGCGGCCGGGUCCAACCCCUUGGCAGUGAGAGGGUGGGGAGGAGGGCCCCGCCCUCUCCGCCUCCUCCCCUGCGGCCCCCCGGCCGACCGGCUCCGCCGCAGUGAGAGGGGCGGGGCAGGGGACCGAGGAGGGAAGGGGAAUCGACGCUGCGUCAGAGGAGACCCUCGAGGUCGGGGAAGCGGGCAGAGGACUCCCGGAGUGGGCCAGUGAGGACCCCCGGGUGCGCGUCGGAAGAGCCUGCGAGUGUGUUCGGAAUAAGAAAGGGGACUUGAAACAGGGAGAGGACAAGGAGAAACCUGAUGGGAAUAGGGGCAGGAUGCCCUCGGGAUGGAGCAAUGGAAGAUUGCAGUCAUUAGGAUGAGGGGAUCCCUGUAUGAGACAGGACACGAGGCUUUCCAAAUAGUUAAGAGAGGCUUUCAGGAUAGGGGGUGCAGAGACUGUGCAGCCAGCCCCGGAACAGAGGAGGGAGCAAGGCAGUCCUGAAUGGGAGCAUGGACGCUCCAUAGAACGGAGACAGGAGACCCCUGACCGGGGGAGGUACAGUGUUCUCCUAACAUCUAGAGGACCCACUUGGAGAGCGCUCAGGAAACUCCGCGGCCAGCCCCGGAAUAGAUGAAGGGGGACCUGGAGUUGGGGAGAAUAGCAAGGCUACCCUGAAUGGGGGUAUGGGAGACACUGCAGAGGAUGGAGAGAGGGAACCCCGGAUGGGUGGGGUUGGGGGGAGGCAAGGCGUUCUCUAAAAAGUCUGCAGUGGCCCCCGAGAGAGGAGAUGGGAGACCCUGCUGCCAGCCCCAGUAAAGGGGACGGACCCUCAGCGAAGCGGGCAGAAGGUCCCCUGAACAGGCAGGAGAAAGCUGGGCUGAGUUUGAGGGGCAGAGAACCUACAGUGGGGGUACCGUAGGAGGGCUUGGGCAUGAAGUUGAGAGAGCUGGCCCCUGUGUGGGGUGGGGGGAAAUGAUGGGUGUCACCCGAGCCAGCUUCUGCACACUGGGGUCAGCUAGGCAGUUUGCUGGUCGAAUGACCUUGGACAAGCUGUGUCCUCCCACCCUUGUUUUUCCAUCUGUACAACGAAGGGGUCUUGCCCCAGAGACAAGCUCCAACUCCUGACCCCCGACUGCCCCAGGAAGUUCCACUUUGAGGGGUCUCUGGCUGAACUGGGGAUGGGGAACCCACAUCUUGCCGUUCUGUCAACACUAGGAAGUCCUCUUUUCUCCCUCCCCCUCCCCAUCUUCUCAGCCUCAACUUGUCCUCUCUUCCCCCACUCCUGUAACAGACAAGCAGGCGCCUGAGUCGGCAUCCCUUCUCUCUUACAGGGAAGUGAUGAGAUGCUUUCUGAGUACCAAAGUCCCUCACCCCAAUAGGAUGUCAGGUAGAAGAAGGGGUCCCCAGGAUUUAGGGGGCCCUGCAACGGCUGUGACAUUUGGCUCUUUAUUGGUUUUGGCUCAUGUUUUAUGCUGUGGGAGUGGGGGUGGUGCUGCGGCUGGCGCUUCAGCACCGGGGACAGGGCCUGCUCUUUGUUGGGCGUGGGGCGGGGAAAGAGAUUAACCCUCUGCUUUUACUUUAGGGGAAGGAAGGGAGGGACACUGUGCUGAGGGGACCCGAGAGGGGAGGCAAGUGAUCCAGCAGGGUCACAUAGUGAGCCAGGGACCCCUCCCUGGACUUCCUGUCGGGGGUCCAGUUCCGUGUUUUCUGGGCUGUUCCCCUCCUGCUUAGGGACCCCUGCGAAAGGACCCCUGGGGAUGCUGGGAGCCCUGAGACGCCCUUGAGAGUUUGUAGACUCGUACUUCCACUCUGAACCUCCCCCAGGCAGUUAUCUCAACACCCACUACACCCCUACUUUACGCGGGUUUUCCUGCUCCAGGAUCCCCAGGACAGAACAGACAUAUCCCCCAGGAAAGACCUCUGCCAGUUCCUUUCUCUUUGCCCUCUGUCUCCUUCCAGCCCCCUAGUUCUAAGCAGACCCUCAGAGCUGGGAAAUUGAUGGCGCUGUCCCUUUAACCACUUUUUACUGGAAGGAGAGUGCGCUGGGAGGAGGGAAGAGGGGGAGGGAGUUUCUGGUUUUGCAUGAAGCAGCAGAACAUGAUGAAGCAUUUUUCCCCCAUCUAAAGAUCCAGUCGUGCUCCAGUUUGCAGAGGGCAAGGGGCUGGUUGCAGGUGGUGCUGGGAGGAUGGAGGUGAGUGGCUGGUCUGAGGUCCCUGAGAAAGGCAUGGGGCGGGUGUUGGGCAGGACUCCCUUGCUCUCAGAUGGCUCCCCAUUUAUUUGUCAUUCUACUUGGAAUUUUGCCAUUGGAGCCUUGUUCCUCUGGGUCUUUUCAGUCUGCACAAUGCUGAUACAUUCUCUGGAUGUGAGAAGGCUCACAAGCAGCUGACAGCAAGGAGGAAUGGGGGUUUGGGGUAAAAAGGGGGCUCCAAGAUGUAUUCUGUUGAGGCCAAGGGGCCACAGCCAUCAGAUUGAAGCUGCCUAUGUAGUCCAAGAAGCCCCAAGCAUGACUCUUGUGGCUGGAGAAAAUGGCAUGAGGGCUGGAGCCCUGAGGUCAGUUCCCCCAAAGGACCCUUCAGGCUCACCUCCAGAAAGCCAUCCCUGGCCGCCUUCACCCCCACAUUUAGUUAAUUGUCCCCUCCUGGUGGUUCCCAUGGUUCCCAGUGCUAAUCUCUAAUGCUGCUCUUACCACUCUGUGGUGUGUAAAUGAAUCAAUGAAUGAAUAAGUUCCGUCUGUUUUCCAGCCAAACUUGUGGUCUGGAGGGGCUGUGAAUGGUUCUGCCCUGAGUCCUUGGGGCUCGAAUCGCUUUCACUUUCCUCCCUGUGAUUCUUACCAUUUGGAAGUGAGUAGAACGAUAUAUUCAUCUAUCUAUCCAUCCAUCCAUCCAUCCACCCGCAGUUCUUGGAGUUAUCUUCCCAAAGCCUGGACUUGGCAGUGAGCAUUGUGAAUCUCCCAGAGGCAAGUAGAGUGUGCUGAGUUUCCCAAACUUAACUGCUCUUGGGCCCUUCUUGUCCCCAAGUGUCUCCAGGACAAGGGUCCAGUGGCUCACACUGAAAGGCACACUGAGAUUUGGGUCUCAGCCCCUGCUGUCCCUGGGCUUUUGUGGACCCCAAGGCUGGUGCUCUUCAGGAACAUACUUGCAGGGUGAAGGAUAAAGCAGUAGGCGCUUAAACAGCCACCAGCCUCGCUGCUACUCACUGUUCACUCGGCAGGGAUCAUUGUCCCUAUUUUAUAGGCAAGUAGACUGAGACCCGAGUGAGGAAGUGGGUUGCCUGAGUUGACUCAGUGACACAGCAGAGCCCAGUGUCUCAACUCAUCCAGACCUGAGCUGGCACAGGACACAGGGUGGAAACUUGUUUCUCUUGCAUAGUAGAGGCCUAGAUGGUCUGAGGGUAGAGGAUUGAGAGGCCUUCAGAGAGGGGAUGGGCAGCUUUCUGGGGCUGGGGUUGGGGUCUGGCCUCUGACAGAUCACCCAUCUGUGAGUCUCUGUGGCCCAUGACCCAACAUCAGCAUAGCCUGUAUGUGAGAACCUACUUCCCGGCCUGGGUACCCUCUGACACUGUGUCACCUCUGUGGGAGCUACAUGUGACCACUGUUUGAGGUGCAGAUGCUAAAUUCCUCGUUCUCUUUUCCUGCUUGUUUUUUCUCCAUAGGACUUGACGUUUUCUGACAUGCUACUAUGCAUCUUCUCCACUAAAUAGAACUUCAUCAGGACAGGGAUUUUUGUUUGUUUUAUUCACUGCUGACAUCUCCAGUGCUCGGAAUAUUGUCUGGCAUAUAGUGGGUGCGUAGCAAAUAGUUUCAGGAUGACUGCGAGGCUCUGCCUGAGAGGCCCGUGAUCACCCAGACAUUUUAGCACUGGGCAUCUGGACAGUUCCAGGCCCUAGGGAGGCUGCCCGCAGGUUGACUGGAGAAGGAGGUCUUGAAAGUGUGGCCCCCAUCCUGGGGCCUGAAGCCUCCCAGCCCGAGCUGUGUAGUCCCCUUUGCUGAGGCUCAACCUUGCUGGCUUUGUUGUCUGCAGACUCACCCUGCUCCUGCACAGCCUGUUCCUUUUUAUGUUCAGCAAUUCCUUUUAGGAAGUGCUGAGCCUUUCUUCUUGCUUCCUUUCCCCGUGAAUGUCCGUCAUGUCCCACAUUCUCCGUCUCUCCUCUUGCCCCUCUCUCCACUGCAUUCCCUUCCUUCUCCCUCUAUUAUAUCCCUCCCUCUUUCCCCCCAAUUUCUCUGUCCUCUUUAUUCCUCCCCUUUUCCUUCCUCUCCCUCCUUUUUUCUCCUCUCCCUCCUUAGAGAUGCCGUCUUUUUGCCGCGUUUGAAUCUGAUUUAUAAUAAAAGGGCGGCAGUCUCCCCAUGUCUACUCCGUUUAGGACACAGACAGCAAAAAACUAAACUGUGUGCAGUUUUGCAUAAGCCUCCCCCUCCUAGCUUCCACCCACAGCCUUAACCCCCAGGGACCAGCCACCGCAGACUCAGGCCUGCAGCAGGUCUGCCUGCCUGCCUGCCCGCCCAUCUGCCGCCCUGGGACUGCACCAGGUGGGAAGCUGGAUUCUACCCCAAAGGCCAGGAACUGGUGGAUGGGGUCACAGGUCCACCCUAUCUCCCCUGCUCUAGUUCCUGCUGUGGGAGAUUAUGGAUGAAUGAUUCUUGGGCUGUGGUUCCCAAGAUGGAGAGUGAGAUGGUUUAUUGGACUUUCAUCUAGUAACUGGGGCUUGCCAAGUUACAAGUGCCCCAGGGCUGUCAUUACUCUUCUUACCUAGAGCAAGAGGCUAAGUAGCAAUGGGAAUGAAGGCUGUCAUCUAAGGAAAGGAGGAGAUGCCUGGCCUCUCUUAUUCUUGCAAUCCUAUGAAAUAGAUACCAUUACUAUCCCCAUGUCAUGGUUUGAGAAAUGAAGAGAGGCUGGUCAUGGUAGCUUAUGCCUGUAAUCCCAGCACUUUGGAAGGCCAAGGUGGGAGGAUCACUUGAGCCCAGGAGCUUGAGACCAGGCUGGGCAACAUAGCAAGACUCCAUCUCAAUAAUAAUAAUAAAUAAGUUUUUUAAAAAAUGAUGGCUCAGGUUGAAUAACGUGCCCCAGGUUAUACAUCUGAUAAGUGGUGGAGCUGGGAUUUGAACUCAGGUCUGAUGGGCUCUGCAGGAGGAAUACUGAACUACAAGACUGUACAUCUCGCAUUCAAGGCAGGCCCAACUGGACCCAGCACUUUCCUGAUUCCAUCACAGCUGGCCAGGGUCUUUGCUCUAGGGCUUCCUUCUGGUGCCUUGGUGGAAGCAAGGGGGAUUGAAAAUUGGCUCAAUCAAAAUUUGUUUCUUUUCCCCCAGGUUUUUAUACUCUCUCUGGUUGUCUUGAGGGAAGGAGGCUUCCCAAGCAGUAUAGUCAGGAAGUUAAAAUGAUGACUAGCUCAGCUUUCUGGAUGAUCCUGACUGAAGAGAUAGAUAAGUAGAAAGAAGUCAUUGGACAGUGAUUGAUGUUCACAGUGUACAUCUUUUUUUUUUUUUUCAAAGUCUUGCUCUGUCGCCCAGGCUGGAGUGCAGUGGCACAAUCUCAGCUCACUGCAACCUCUGCCUCCCAGGUUCAAGUGAUUCUUGUGCCUCAGCCUCCCGAGUAGCUGGAAUUACAGGUAUGUACCACAUGCCUGGCUAAUUUUUGCACUUUUAGUAGAGGUGGGGUUUCGCCAUGUUGGCCAGCCUGGUCUGGUCUUGAACUCCUGGCCUCAAGUGAUCCACUCGCCUCGACCUCCCAAAGUGCUGGGAUUACUAACGUGAGCCACUGCACCUGGGCUCACAGUUUAAAUCUUGAGUAAUGGAGAAAACAGCUUUGUCAUCCUUUACGUGGUGGGCACCUGCCUGCUGUGCUCCACGUACAUACGUGGUGUCUGCAACAACUCUGUCAGCUGUGCAAGGUCACUGUCCUCUACAGAGUAGAACAUCGACACUGAGAAAGUGACCUGCCAAGGCCACAGAGUGAGGUGGUGGAGGGGCUGUGGCUCACAUCUAGGCUUUGUCCAGGACCCUUGCACCUCCCACUAUCCAUACUGACUCUCAGGAAAAAAAUAAGAAAAGGUUUCAGUGCUGUUUCAUCUCUUUAUUCUGGGGGAGAAGGAGGGAGCCCAUAGUACAUUUGAGAGAAAGAUUCAUGCCAGAGUUUAAAUUGGAAUGUUGGGGGCCGAGUGCAGUGGCUCACACCUGUAAUUCCAGCACUUUGGGAGGCCAAGGCAUGCGGAUCACCUGAGGUCAGGAGUUCAAGAUGCCUGGCCAACAUAGUGAAACCCUGUCUCUACUAAAAAUACAAAAAUUAGCCGGGUGUGGUGGUGCGUGCCUGUAAUCCCAGCUACUCAGGAGGCUGAGGCAGGAGAAUCACUUGAACCCAGGAGGCGGAGGUUGCAGUGAGCCGAGAUCACGCCAUUGCACUCCAGCCUGGGUGACAGAGCAAGACUCUGUCUUGAAAAACAAAACAAAAAAAAACGGGAUGUUGGGACUUGAGGGAGAAUUAACAGUUGGAUAAAAGUUCAUUCCUGAUGGCCAAUGUUGGCAUUACUGAGCCCUAAAAGAGGCCCCCCAGGCUGGGCACGGUGGCUCACGCCUAUAAUCCCAGCACAUUGGGAGGCCAGGGUGGGAGGAUCGCUUGAGCCUAGGAGUUUGAGACCAGUGUGGGCAACAAAGUGAGACCCUGUUUCUACAAAACAAUUUAAAAAUUAGCUGGGUGUGGUUGUGUGCAUCUGUAGAUCCAGCUACCUGGGAGGCUGAGCUGGGAGGAUCAUUGAGCCCAGGAGUUCAAGGCUUCUGUGAGCUAUAAUUGUGCCACUGCACUCCAGUCUAGGUGACAGAGUGAGACCCUGUCUCUUAAAAAAAAAAAAAAAGAAAAGAAGAAAAGCCCCUGCAAGUGGGCAUGGCCCCAGGCUUGGUGGACAUGAAGCUUCCCCUGCCCAGGGGCAGCUGCACCCUGGCUUGUCUCUCUGCAGCUGUGUGGGGACAUGGAGGACUCGGGUGCAGCCUGGCACUGCCAAAGACAGCAGAUGCCAGCAUGAGAGAGACAUGCCAAGAAAGUUUCUGAAACCUCUGCCUCAGCCCCGAGCGAGGCACUCCGUGUGCAUGGAAAACUGCAGGAGCCCAGAGUGAACCUGAACCAGGGACCUGGCCACACACAGCAGGGACAGCUCUGCUGGGCGCCUGAACUACCUUCUGGCAUUUGGGGAGGUUAAGUGGCAGAGGAAAGAGGAAGCAGGGCUUGAGGUCUUUGCUGUCUGUUAGGGGGAGUUAGUGGAGAAAAUAUACUUUUUAUUAAACGUUUUGCUUGUGUGGUGGUCACCACAGAAUUUCAUUGCAAAUUCCUGGGCUCGUCCAGAUCAUCCAAGUCAGAAUCUCUGAUGGAGCCUGGGGAUGUGCAUUCUGAGCCAGUGUCCCUAGAGCAGGAGAACUGACUCUGGAUCUGGCCUCAGCCAACCUUCCAGGCUCAUCGUUCGAGCUCCCACAGAGUCUUUCACAUAGACUUUUACAAACAUGAUCUCAUUUAAGCUCCACAACUCUUUAUCUAUCUAUCUAUCUAUCUAUCUAUCUAUCUAUCUAUCUAUCUAUCUAUCUGUGUAUCUAUCUAUCUAUCUAGUAUUUUGAGAUGGAGUCUUGCUGGAGUGCAGUGGCGCGAUCUCGGCUCACUGCAACCUCUGCCUCCCGGGUUCAAGAGAUUCUCCUGCCUCAGCCUUCCGAGUAGCUAGAACUACAGGCACGUGCCACCAUGCCCAGCUAAUUUUUUUUUUUUUUGUAUUUUUAGUAGAGAUGGGGUUUCACCGUGUUAACCAGGAAUGUCUCGAUCUCCUGACCUCGUGAUCCACCCGCCUCAGCCUCCCAAAGUGUUGGGAUUACAGGCGUGAGCUACCACGCCCGGCCCUAGGCUCCACAACUCUAAGAAGCUUUGGUGAGUAAACAGGCCUGAAGAGGUGAAAUCAUUUGCCAAGCACAGAACCAGGAUUCAAAACUUUGCAGUCUGGCUCUAGAAUGCCACCCCGUCCCACCUCAGGACUGGCCCUCUCCUGGGAAUUCCUUUCUCCCUCAUCCUCCAUGUCCUUUCUCUGUGGAGCCGUGUGCCCUGCCCAUAUCUAAGUACAUGUCCUGGGAUCCAGGGGAUGACAUAUACUGGAGUCCCUGGUGCCCAUGCCUUCUGACUCCUCCUAGACCAUGAGCUGAGGGGACAGAGAGUGGCUCUUGCACCUGGGGGGCUCAGGGUGUGUACAGUGGGUGAACAAAUGGGGGGACAUUUGAGGCCCAGGCAGAAGGACACAGAAUGUUCCCUGGUGGCAGCUUAGGAGGGGGCAGGGGCUGGGCAGAGGGGGCAGUUGUGUCCUUCCCUACCUGAACCUCUUCUACUCUCUGGGUCCACCGCCAUGAAAUUAUUCAUUCUGCCACAUUCUCUUGCACCCUGGCUUUCUGUCUGAAAUCCUUUCUCUGCCCCAGUAUUCACUCUCCGACUCUUCAGCUCACUCCUCUUAAUCCUUGAGACGUUCCAGGUUACCUGCUCCCUCAGGAGCUUUGCUAACCCCAAGGUUGUGAUAACUGCUUUCUUUAGGCUCCCACAGUUGCUCGUUCUAAUCCCAACACGGUAUUUGAAGGGCUAUUUAUUUCUCUCCUGACUGGACUGUUGGGAGCUUUGUAAGGGCAAGAGCCAUCUCUUAUUUAAUGUUGUAUUCCUAGGGCCUGGUACCAGAGUAUUAGUAAAGCUUGUUGAAUGAAUAAAUGCGAUUCAGCGGUGACUUCCCAUAGAUGCUACUCCAUGUUAUUCAUGUCACUGUAAUCCAUCUUGGGCUGCAUUUCACAAGCCAGCAUUGAAGAAAGCUGGGCUCAGAGAGCCUUAGAGACCAUCAGUGGUACAGAUGAGGAAACCGAGGGCAGGCCUGGUUCUCACUGCCUCGCCUCUGGUUCUGCGACUGGAGCUCCGUGAGGACAGGAACCAGGACUUGGAUGUUGUUUUCUGGCUUGGCAGGGUGCUUUGCCUGUGAUCACAGUCAUUGCCUUUUACUAGGUGCUUAUAAGGUGCCAGCCCCUUUAUGUGUUUUUCCACGUUUGCAUAUCCACAGGGAAGGGAGGUGCAAUUAUCCCCAUUUACAGAUCAACAAACAGGUGUAGGGAGGUUAAGUAAUUUGGUUAUUUAUCAGUGUCUUCUGGUUCCUUUCAUAAAUUUAUCUGGGUUCCACUGUAGCCUCACAACAUUGUCAUCAAACCCACUUUCGGCGGUGCAGUGGCUCACACCUCUAAUCCCAGCACUUUGGGCGGCCAAGCGAGAGGAUCGCUUGAGCCCAAGAGCUCGAGACCAGCCCAGGCAACACAGAAAAACCUCAUUUCUACAAAAAAUAAAAUAAAAUAAAAAUAGCUGGGUGUGGUGGCGCGCCUGUGGUCCCAGCUCCUCGGGAGGCUGAGGUGGGAGGAUCGCUUAAACCUGGAGAGGCGGAGGUUGCAGUGAGCCGAGAUCACGCCACGGCACUCCAGCCUCGGCAACAGAGCGAGACCCUGUCACAAACGAACACUCUCCAGAGGGGGAAACCGAGGCCCUGGGACUGCAGAACCGGUUUCUCUGCCUCGGCAUACUGCCUCGGCUGGCUCUGCGCUUGAUAGAAUCGCGCCAGCAACAGCGCCCCCUGCAGGCGACGGCGGGCACGCCUGCGUCACAGCCAUCCCCGCCCUUCCGCAGUGGGAACGCCCGAAUGCUUCAUCCGGCCUCGGAAGAUUGAAGAGCGCUCCUCCAAACUGGCUCAGGGAAGCCGGGCGCGCCGCCUUCAGCCCCGCCUUGGCCGCCGCGGCGUCGCAUCAGUGGCAUCCCCAGGGGCUGCAGGAAGGUAGCCGUAGCCUUGGCUGUCGUGGCUUCCCUCAUCGUAACGGCCUGGGGGCAGCGGUGCUCAAAGAACUCAGGGGGUGGGGCUCAGGUAGGGGCAUGGCCGGUGCUCUUCCUAGGGGCGGGAUCCUGGGAAAGGGGAUCGUCCCAGAAGGACCCAGCCACAAGCGAGGACACCGGUGCAUCAAGCCCUGGCGCCUGUGUUUCCGUGAACAGCGCCCUUCUCCUCCUCCCCAGACAUUGGUCCUGGCACCUGUGUGUCCGUGGGCAGCAGCCUCUUCCUCCUCCCCAGACCUCAGUUUCUGCACGUGUGAAAAGGGGGCUCUUCCAAGACUCUUACAUGAAUGCAAAAAUCGGGAUUUCGUCCAGCAUGCUCAGAAUUGUCGACCCUACACAGGCACCUGAGAAAUCAGAGCUGAGUCAGGAGAGCCGGUGUGGAUGUACUGGGAGCUCCUUCCCUUGCUGCGUCAGCACUCUUGAGACUGGAGAGCCCUGGAGGUUGGGGACCGGCCACUUGCUGGUGGACCAGACUCCCUGCAGUCUGGGAUGGUGACAGACAUGAGACAUGGCUGUGGAAGUAAUUGGUAACAGUAGUAGCCCGCAUUUAUUGAGCACUGACUAUGUGCUUGGCUUUGUGUGAAGGCCAGUCACAUGCAUUAUUUCCCCCUCCCACAGCCUUGUCUGGUGGGUACUGCUAUUCUGUCCCCAGUUUACUGAUGAGACAUUUGAGGCCCAGAGUUGCUGGGUAGUAACCAGUCCAAAGUCACCCUGCUGACAAGUAGCUGAAGCAGUAGUCCCCAGUCUUACCUACUAUACUGUACUGAGAAAGGUUUGACCUGGAAGGCAGAAUGGCAGAGGGGGAAAUGACAAGGUUCUAGCAGUAUUAAUAAUAGAUACCAUGCAUUGAGCACCCACUAAGUGCUGGGUGCUGGCCCAAGGGCAUUUCAUGAAUCAUUUAUCCUCCUGACAGUGAACCCUAUACUGUAAAUUUUAUUUCCAUUUCAAAGGUGAAGCUCGGAGAAGUCACUUUAUAUGCCUUAGGGCACAUAUAGUAAAAAACUAACUUUUCGAUUCAUUGAUGGUGCAUUCUGCCUGCCUGCAUGUCACUCUUAGGCAUAUUCCACUCUUCUCUGAGUCAAGCUUUCUCCUACUGUGAAAUGAGAGGCUUGGACUGGGAGACUUUGAAUGUUCUUUCCCCAGCCGAUGUUGUUUGAUUUUAGGGAGUUUUGACAUGAAUGUUGGAGAUCUGGAUUUGAGGAUUACAUUUGUUCCUAAUUAACUGUAAUUUAGGCACAUCUCUGCAUCUCUGGGCUUCAGUUUCCGCAUUAGUAAAAGGUAAGACUAGACCAGGCAUGUUGGCUCAUGUCUGUAAUCCCAGAACUUUGGGAGGCUGAGGAGGAAGGAGGAUUGCUUGAAGCCAGGAGUUUGAGUCCAGCCUGGGCAACAAAACAAGACCCUGUCUCUACAAUAAAAAAAAAUUAAAAAGUUCAAAUUAGCCAGGUGCAGUGGCUCAUGCUUGAAGUCCCAGCUACUUGGAGAGCUGAGGUGGGAUACUCACUUGAGCCCAGGAGUUUGAGGCUGCAGUGAGCUAUAAUCAUGCCACUGCGCUCUAUCCUGGGCAACAGAGCGAGGCCCCGUCUCUAAAAAGAAAAUGGGCUGGGCACGGUGACUCACACCUGUAAUCCUAACACUUUGGGUGGCUGAGGUGGGAGGAUCACUUGAUCCCAGGAGUUUGAGACCAGCCUGGGCAACAUGGCAAAACCCUGUCUCUACGAAAAAUACAAAAAACUGGCUAGGCAUGGUGACAUGUACCUGUGGUUCCAGCUAUCUAGCUAUCCGGGAGGUGGAGGCAGAAGGAUCACCUGAGCCCAGGAGGUUGAGACUGCAGUGAUCCAUGAUCACGCCACAGCCUUGGCAACAGAGUGAGACCCUGUCUCAAAAAAAAAGAAAAAAAAAUUACAGAGAUUAGCAUUUCCAAUCACCAGAGUGCCUUCUGGCUUGAAUAUUUUAUGACUGCAGAUGAAGAGACAACCUGAGGUUCAGCAAACUGCAUCCUCUGAGAAAGUCUAAUGAACGUAAAUCUGCUACCUUACUCAGAAUGUCCCUGGCACAAGUUUCCAAGGAUAGACCCUCUGUGUGAAGGGGAGCAGCUGCCUUUGAGCAAUCAGCAGUAACUGCUUGGGGAGGCUUAGUCCCCUAAUAGUUCAGAAGUCACCUCCAAGGUCAGACGGACCCACAGCUGAACGCCAACACUUCCACUUCUCGGUAAGGCAUCUCAGGCAAGUGACCUUUCCUUUCUGUAUCUCAGUUUCCCCCGUAUAAGAUGGAAUGCUGGCUGGGCACGGUGGCUAAUCCCAGCACUUUGGGAGGCCGAGGCAGGCAGAUCACCUGAGGUCAGGAGUUAAAGACCAGCCUGGCCAACAUGGUAAAACCCCAUGUCUACUAAAAAUACAAAAAUUAGCCAGGUGUGUUGGCAGGCACCUGUAGUCCCAACUACUAGGGAGGCUGAGGCAGGAGAAUCGCUUGAACCCGGGAGGCAGAGGUUGCAGUGAGCCGAGAUUGCUCCACUGCACUCCAGCCUGGGCAACAGAGCAAGACUCCCUCUCAAAACAAAAACAAACAAAACAAAAGGAUGCUAAUGGUACCAGCUUCAUCUGGGAAUUGGUGAGUAAACAUGGGGGGAAAAAUCUAACACCAUUUUUUUGGCCUAGAAAAUUCUCAGUAAACACAACUGUUACUAGUUGUGUCUGCAGCACCAGUCUGGGCAGCACCAGUCUGGGCACUGGGGGAGUUCCUAAGCCUUGGACCCCACCCAUCCUCUAUGCCCUAAGAUGAUUUUAGGGGAGGAGAGGCAGGAUCCUGCUGAGUCAGUGGAGGAUCCAGAGUUAGGACUCAGGCAGCCCCCACCUCUGAGGUUGCCAACACCAGCUUCUGGCCUAAAGUGGCAUUAAUGGGCAUUCUAGCAUGUCCCUAGCUGGCAGCAGCUCCUGGGGAGGGGCAGCGGCCGCUGAGAAUAGGGAGGCAGAGGAAUGGUGUUAGGAGUCCUGCAGUGUGUGCCGGGGACUAUGGCUCAGCGCAUCCUUGUGGUUCCAGGUGAGUUAACUGAAGUGUGUGCCGUGCUUUGGGCUUUUAUGAAGUGCAUUUGCAUCAGUUGUGUCCUCAGGACAGGGUUGAGUGGCAUAGGAUACAGGGUUCUCAACGAGCAGUAUAGGGAUUCGACUACUGCAGACCUGUACAAGGGAUCAGGAACCCCCAAAACUGUGCAGGAUUGUGUGGGUGAUUCUCCAGAGGCAUAAGACCCAAAAAUGUCAAAAGAGUUCUUGAUUUAGGAGUCAGAAGACCUGCUCACUAGAUCCCAUCCCCAUUUCUCCCUUUCUUCCACCCUUCUUCUUCCUUCCUUCCUUCCUUCCUUUCUUUCUUUCAUUUGUUCAUUUGUUCGUUCAUUUUAGAGACAGAGACUUGCUGUGUCGCCCAGGCUGGAGUGCAGUGGUGCAAUCUCAACUCACUGCAGCCUUGACCUCCUGGGCUCAAGCGAUCCACCCACUUCAUCCUCAGCUUCCCGAGUAGCUGGGACAACAGGUGCACACCACUAUGCCUGGCUAAUUUUGUUAUUUUUUUAUUAUUAUUUUUUGGUAGAGACACCCCAUCUCACCAUGUUGCCUGGCUGGUCUCGAACUCCUGGGCUCGAACAGUUCUCCCACCUUGGCCUCUCAAAGUGCUGAGAUUACAGGUGUGAGCCACUGCACCUGGGCCUUCCCUCCUUCUGUCUCAUCCAUUCAACAGACAUUUCCUAAGAUGUGUUUCAGGCCCCACCCUGCACUGGGAAUACAGCCAUGAAGAAGACAGGCUCCCAGCUCCCCAGCAAGUUUGGGGCCAAUUUUGUAAGAACUGAUAGAGGGGGCAAGUCCAGGGGUUGUUAGAGCUUCAAACUGGGGCUCCUGACCCAGCAUGUGGUGGGGGGCAAGCUGGGAGUCAGCAGGGGAGUCCUGGCUCAGUGCCUGUGGCCUUGGGUAGGCCACUAGCCUUGCUGAGCCUCAGUUUACCCCCCUCUCCUUGAUGGGACCACUUGACAGAAUGGGGUGAGGAUGGAGGAGAUGCGGGCCUGGUGGAGCCUCCUCAAAGGGGAUGUGGCUGUGUUUCGGCUCCCAUGGAGCCAGGACACCACCCGGGCACCCAGGCUCACAGCACAGUGCUCCCUUUACUUUGUUGGAGCUGGAGCAUUUCCCGUUUGAAACAGGCCAGAGGAAGAACACUGGUGAGGAAGUCAGAGAUCUGGCCCUGGGCCCCAGGGCUCUGCCUGGCCUCACUGGCCAACCUCAGACACCUUACCGAGGGCCUUAGGUUCCCACCCACACACACAGGAGGCCAGGCUGCCUGAUCUUCUAUGGACAAAUACAUAUGAGCAGCGGGGGUACCAAGAAAGGUGAGCAGCCAGGGAGAGCCUCCCAAAGGAGGUGGCAUAGCUGCAGCCUGAAGGAUUGAGAGCAAGAGUGGGGAAAUAACUGGAUGGGUUCCCUGGUCCCGAAGUGUUUCUGGUAGAACCUCUAGGGGUGAUGGAGGAAUGUGGGGAUGGGGCCCUGGGCUCGGGGAGGAGAGAAGGAGGGUCGGGGAGAGCUGCCCCUUUGCUCCAAGGCUCUCUUAACUGGUGACAAAGAGCAGGCCCUUGGGGCCAGGAAGGCCUCGGUUUGAAUCCUUUUUGACAUUGCUUCAUUAAGGACCCCUAGGUAAGGGUUUCAUCUGUCUAAGCUUCAUUACUUCCAUCUGGGAAAUGGGUGAUAAUCAUACCACAUUCAAAAGGUUGUUGGCUAUUAUAUGACUUUAUUUAUAUGAAAUGUCUAGAAUAGGCAAAUCUAUAGAGACAGAAAAUAGAUUAGUGGCUACCUAAACCUGAGAGGAUAAGGGACUUGGAGAGUGAUAGCUAAAGAGUAUGAGGUUUCUUUUUGGGAUGAUGAAAAUAUUCUUUUUUUCUUUUUCUUUUUCUUUUUUUUUUUUCUUUUGAGACAGAGCUCACUCUGUCACACAGGCUGGAGUGCAGUGUUGCAAUCUUGGCUCACUGCAGCCUCCGCCUCCCAGGUUGCAGCAAUUCUCCUGCCUCAGCCUCCCAAGUAGCUGGAACUACAGGCUCAUGCCACCAUGCCUGUCUAAUUUUGUAUUUUUAGUAGAGACAAGAGUUUCACCAUGUUGGCCAGGCUGGUCUCGAACUCCUGACCUCAAGUAAUCGGCCUGUUUCAGCCUCCCAAAGUGCCAGGAUUACAGGUGUGAGCCACUGUGCCUGGCCUGGGGUGAUAAAAAUGUUCUAAAAUUGAUUGUGAUGGUUGCACAACUCCAUAAACAUGGCAUUGUUGCUUUAAAUGGUUGAGUUGUAUGGGAUGUGAAUUAUCUCUCAAUAAGGCUGUUAUUAAAAAACCAAGAGGUUCAGACGAGAUGUUCCACGCUCCCUAAAUGUUGGCUGUCACUGGUGUUAUUUACUCCUGGCAGCUCUUCCAGCCCUCCUCCAGAGAGGGCUGAUAGGUUCCGGGAGAAGGGGAAGGGGCCUGGGCCCCUACUAGCUGGCUAGGGGCCCCAAGCAAGCUACAUAACCUCCCUGAGCCUCAGUUUUCUCAUCUGUGAAAUGGGUGGGGGCGGUUUUCCAGGCCUUGGCCACCUCUUUGGACACUGUGCUGCUCAGAUCAGACCAUGGGCUUUGCUAGAUAUAGUUACAUGGCCAGUUGUAGAGAAGGGCAGUGGGGGGAUUGGAUGUUCUCUCCGUCUGCACCCAGAGGGGCUGACUUCACACAUCCGCUCAUGGUUGCAUACCGAGUGUGUUUUGUGAGCAAGGCACCAUGCAGGAGAUGGAGGAGGGACCGCAAGAGCCUGUGCCCCAGCCUGCCUGGAGCUCAGAGCCCCAGAAAAGGGACACGCAAGGGUUUGCCAGGGCUGAUGGGAGCACUGCUGGCUGUGCAGGCCAUCAUUUCAUCACUCUGGCCCUCAGUUACCUCAUCUGUAAAAAGGGGAAUAAAUGGUACCUCCCUGCUAGGGUCGUGCUGAGGCUCACAGUGGCUGGCAUAGCAUCUCUAGUAAAUACACAGGAACCAUUGUCGUCACUAUGGCUAUCAAUAUCAUCAGCCAUCAGGUGCCUUUUGUCCCCUCCCCCCCUCCCCUUGGCUAACUUGUCGCAUGGUGAAUCAUGUCAGGGCUAGCUUUCCUGUCUCUGUCCCUGCCCCAGAGCAUCAACCAACUUCCAGGGUGGAGCCUGGAUGCUCCCUUUUCAGACCCAGCCCACGCACCCAAAGAAGCUGUAGGCUCCUCAGUGAGCCUCGAGCCCCUUUCCUGCCCCCAUUUCUUCAGGCCCAGCUGCAGAAGGCAUGACCCUCUGGCCAGCCCGAGACUGAAGCCUCCCUCCUGUCCUGUCCUCUCCUUCCACCUGGCUGCAGGGUAAGGUCAACAGGCCACCCCCAGCCAGCCUUUCUGGGCGUUCUACUCUCUCUGCGGCGAGAGCCAGUUGAGCCCAACUCAGAAUCUCCUCCCGCAUUCCUCCACCUGCAGAGCCGCAGCAGGGCUGGGGACCUGGCCUGGGCCUCCACAGCCUCUGCAGCAUCCCUGUCACUGUGGUGGGCGAAGGGCCCAGAUGGGGGGCAGGCAUCCCUGCUGGAUGCUAGUCCCUGCUCCUGACCAGUAGCCGCAGUGCCUGAUUUAUGGCUCCCUCUGGGCUCUCUCCAGCAAAACUGCUUGCAAACCACUCCUGGCCUGUUCUUUUCUGGGUCCUGGUUUGCAGACAGGUUGCCUCAGGCCACAGCCUGCAGCCCCACCCCACCACACCCCCAGUCCCCAACCACCAGGCACCUGGGACAUCAGGGCAGGUUGUGCCUUGAGAAGAAGGACAAAGUUCCAUCCCAGCCCUGCCAUGGGUGGGCUGGAUGGCCUAAAGUGGCUUAUGGAACCUCUCUGGGCCUCAGGUUUGCUGUUUGCACAUUGAAUGAUCUUGAAGGUAUCCUCACUGAUACCCAUGCUUCUGAGUUUCCUUCACAUGGCCCCACCGCCUCCCAAGUCUUUUGCCUUGGAACUGAGUCUCCUUUUUUUUUUUUUUUUUUUUGAGAUGGCGUCUUGCUUUGUUGCGUAGGCUGGAGUGCAGUGGCACAAUCUUUGUUCACUACAACCUCCGCCUCCUGGGUUCAAGAGAUUCUCCUGCCUCAGCCUCCCAAGUAGCUGGGAUUACAGGCGUGUACUACCAUGCCUGGCUGAUUUUUGUAUUUUUAGUAGAGAGGGGCUUUCGCCAUGUUGGCCAGGCUGGUCUUGAACUCCUCACCUCAAGUAAUCCGCCCACCUCAGCCUCCCAAAGUGCUGGGAUUACAGGUGUGAACCACCAUGUCUGGCCUGGAACUGGGCCUUCCAUGUGUCUAAAUGGAGACCCCAGCAACCAGGCCAGGUGAGCAAGAAAGAACUAGGCCUGGGUGGGUGAUGGGUACUGGAGACACCCAUCUUUGGAGCCCCACAGCCUUGGGCAGGACCGCUGGCUUUUUCCAGGCCACUCUCUUGCCUCCCUGAGCCCCAUCCAUAAAAUAGGGAGAGUCGGACCUGAGCUAUUGCAGGUGGAUCCCUGUGCUAGACACAGCUUGAGCGGGUGACAAUAAAUAUGGGUCUCUUUUCCCUUCAAGGCCUGGCUCAGCAUCCUCAAGCCUGGUUCCCAGGGGCUGCCAAGUCCAGGCCACUGCAGACAGUGGGAGCAUGGGCUGUGGGUGGGCAUUUUGUGGCCAGCGUGGGGGUGGGGGUGGCGGUCAUCACUGUGCCUCCAGGUCAUCUGUCUGAUCCAUGAGCAGGAAGUGGGGAGGCCACAGUGGUCCCCAACACUGGGUGUCUGCAAGGAGGGCGUGGAACUGUCGAGAGCUUGGUGGCCUGUUUGCUCAUGUGUGCAUCCACUCAGACAUAUUUAGUCAGCAUCAUCUUCUUCUUCUUUUUUUUUUUUUCUUUUGAGACGGAGUUUCACUCUUGUCACCCAGGCUGGGUCUCAGCUCACUGUAACCUCUGCCUCCUGGGUUCAAGCGAUUCUCCUGCCUCAGCCUCCCAAGUAGCUGGGACUACAGGUGCACGCCACCAUGCCCGGCUAAUUUUGUAUUUUUAGUAGAGAUGGGGUUUCACCAUGUUGGCCAGGCUGGUCUUGAACUCCUGACCUUAGGUGAACCACCUACCUCGGGCUCCCAAAGUGCUAGGAUUACAGGUGUGAGCCACCGCACCUGGCCUAGCCAGCAUCUUCCUGAUGGCCACUCUGCACCUGGGUCUGCAGAGGACCGUUCUAAGCACCUUACAUGCAUUAACUUGCUUUUAUCCUCACGACAACCCUACAGGGUAAGCACUGGUCACAUCAUUUUUGCUCAAGGUAACACAGCUGAUAAAUGGUAGAAUCAGGGUCUGAAGCCGGGCCAUCCUUUCAAGUCCAUGGCAAACGCCUUUUCUCAGCUUCGCACUGCCCUCAGCACCAGCCUGCUUCCUGCUCAUCUGGAAGCAGCAUUGCAUCCCCGCUCUGGCCUUCGCUCUUGCUGCUCACCGCACCGCCCCCUUUCCUGACUCCCUUUCUCCUCUGAUUGAACAACAAACUGAUAGCCUUCUAGACUCAGCUGUAUGGCUGGGUGCAGUGGCUCAUACCUGUAAUCUCAGCAUUUUAGGAGCCUGAGGUGGGAGGAUCACUUGAGGUCAGGAGUUCAAGACCAGCCCGGGCAACAUGAUUGAAACCCUGUCUCUACAAAAAGUACAAAAAUUAGCCAGGUGUGGUGGUCAGCGUCUGUAGUCCCAGCUACUCAGGAGGGUGAGGCAGGAGGAUUACUUGAGCCUGGGAGGUCAGGCUGUAGUGAGCCGAGAUUGCACCAGUGUACUCCAGCCUGGGCAGCGACAGUGAAACCCUGUCUUGAAAAAUAAAAAAAUAAGACUCAGCUGUGGCAUCACCUCCUCCAGGAAGCCUUCCUUGAUGCCCUUCCUGUCCCAGGCUGAAUUAGGCUCCUCCACUGGCCUCUCUCAGUUUCCCCUGUCCGGCACUCAUCCAUCUUGUUGCAAGCAUCUGUUCAUGUGUUUACCUCCUCUACCAGACUGUAAGCCCCUCGUCCUCACCUUGACACCCACUGUGCCUGGCACCAUUUGUGGUACAGAGGAGAUCACUGGGGAAUUUUGAAGGGCCAAAUCUUUUUUUUUUUUUUUUGAGAUAGAGUUUUGCUCUUGUUGCCCAGGCUGGAGCGCAAUGGCACAAUCUCAGCUCACCACAACCACCGCCUCCCGGGGUUCAAGUGAUUCUCCCACCUCAGCCUCCCGAGUAGCUGGGAUUACAGGCAUGCGCCACCACAGCUGGCUAAUUUUGUAUUUUUAGUAGAGACAAGGUUUCUCCAUGUUGGUCAGGCUGGUCUCAAACUCCCAAACUCAGGUGAUCCACCCGCCUCAGCCUCCCAAAGUGGUGGGAUUACAGGCGUGAGCCACCAUGCCCGGCCUUUUUUUUUUUUUUUUUUUUUAAUGGAGUCUUGCUCUGUUUCCCCGGGCUGGAGUGGCAUGAUCUUGGCUCACUGCAACCUCUGCCUCCUGGGUUCAAGCAAUCCCCCCACCUCAGCCUCCUGAGUAGGUGGGAUCAUAGAUGUGUGCCAGCAUGCCCAGCUAAUUUUUUAUAUUUUUAGUAGAGACAGGGUUUUGCCAUGUUGGCCAGGCUGGUCUCGAACUCCUGACCUCAAGUGAUCUGUCUGCCUCAGCCUCCGAAAGUGCUAGGAUUACAGGCAUGAGCCACCAUGCCUGGUCAGAUGACCAAAUCUUGAUCGUUCGUAACCUUGUGAAUAGUGGACAAGUUCUAGUAUCUGUUUCACAGAGGAGGAAACUGAGGCACAGAGAGGUGACAUGAUUUUCGCAACUCACAGAGCUAGUGGUGACAGAGCUGGCAUUUGUUGGAAUGGCCUCCAUUUCAGAACAAGCUCCUAGAAGGGUUUACCAAACCAGGGCUUAAAUUUUUUGAAUUAUUUAUUAAUGGCUCAAAAGUCUGAAGGCGCGAAGGGUAGACAGUGAAAAAUCUCCCUUCUCUUCUGUCCCCAGCCACCCAAAUCCUCCUAGGGAAGCAGCCGGGGUGAUCUGAUUCUCAGGUGUCCUUCUCAGCAGUGUGUGUGUUCCCAGACAAACCCAGCAUGUGUUAUUUAGAACCAGGUUUAAACCCAGGCCUGUGGGAUGCCCAUCUCACCUGGGGCUGCUCAGGGCUUGGGACAGGGUCCACCAUGUCCUGGCAAAGAUAUCGGGCCACCAGAGGCCUCCAUCUCCCCAUCUGGGGUCCCCUCCCUGUCCCAGGUCCCCUCCGGCUGUUGCUGUGCCUCCUCAACGGAGCUGCCUGCCUGGAUCUGCUCCCCAGGCUGCAGCAGAGGCUGGGCUCAGGCCCACAGCCCGGCAGGGCUACAAUGGUGAAGGGCUGCUUUGGGCUGAGGGGGCCUCCCUUCAGGCAGUCUGACACUUGCUUUCAUUAUUCCUCACAGAACGGGCCCAGUGUGGGGAAACAAGCCCAGCAAAGGCAGGGGCCAGAGUGAGGAGGCACUGGGCAGGCGGGGCACACAGGGCACAUCACGGCAGGGCAGGGCAGGGAUGCUGGCUCCACCCCUUUCUGCUGGGAACCGAGUGGGCAUAAUAGCUCCCCGAGCAGCCUCUUUUCUCUGAAGAUUAAGAGACAGUACCUGGAAUUGCUUGGAGAAUGCAGUAAGCGCUCCAGAAGUGGUGACUGGAGUGUUAUAGUUAGGGAGGCUCCGGGCUUUUCCACCACCCUAGACUUCCCUGUGACCCCUGAAAAGCAGAGACACAAGACCCUUGGGGCCUGUGCUCAGGGCUCUGACCCAGUCCCUUCCCCUGUGUGCAUAAAUAUUUGGGGGAUUGUUGUUGUUACUCUUUUUUUUUUUUUUUCUUGAGACAGAGUUUCGCUCUUGUUGCCCAGGUUAAGGUGCAGUGGCACAAUCUCGUCUCACCGCAACUUCUGCCUCCCAGGUUCAAGCAAUUCUCCUGCCUCAGCCUCCUGAGUAGCUGGGAUUACAGGCAUGUGCCACCACGCCCAGCUAUUUUUUUGUAUUUUGCAUAGAGACAGCGUUUCACCGUGUUAGCCAGGAUGGUCUUGAUCUCCCAACCUCAGGUGAUCCGCCCACCUUGGCCUCCCAAAGUGCUGGGAUUACAGGCGUGAGCCACCACGCCCAGCCCUGUUGUUGUUACUCUUAUUGGUGUCCAGUCUUAUGAUGUCCAAUAGGAAACCAGGACUCCCACCUCCACCCUGUUGCCCAGGGUAGCUUUGGUGGAGGGCAGGGCAGCAGUGAAUAUGUGCACAGGUUUGGAGGGUGGGGAGGAGGCUACCAGGAGGCUGGGUGGGGCACAGACAGAGCACAGGGCUAGGAACCAGGCCUUUGGGGUUCCCCUCUUACAUAGGAGCCCUGGGUCUGCCUGAAUCCAGUUCCCUCCUCUAUGAAAUUAGGGUGAUCAUCCCUCUCCCCAUUAACUUCAUGGGAUUUGGGAUGCUCUGGGGAGAGAAUGCAUGAGAGAAUCUUUGCCUUGAACUCCUGGCCUCAAGUGAUCCUCCUGCUUCAGCCUCUUAAACUGUAGGGAUUACUGGGAUUACAGGCAUGAGCUACUGCACCUGGCUGGGGAUCUUUGCCAUCUGCAAAUCAGAGGUGGCAAGCAGGCAUCCACAGGCCUGCAGAACCACAGAGGACAUUAAAGGGAUUUGAUUUGGAAAUAGUAGUAAUGAUUGUGCAAUAUUUUGAAUAUAAUUAAUACCACUGGCCUGUACACUUAAAAUGGUAAAAAUGGGCAGUUUUGUGUAUAGAUUUUUUUUCUUUUCCUUGCCCAUCUUUUUUUUUUUUUUUUUUUUUUUUUUUUGAGACAGGGUCUUGCUCUGUAAGCCCAGGCUGGCAUGCAGUGGUGUGAUCUUGGCUCAUGGCAACCUCUGCCUCCCGGGUUCAAGUAAUUCUCCUGCCUUAGCCUCCCAAGUAGCUGGGAUCACAGGCAUGCACCACCACACCCGGCUAAUUUUUGUAUUUUUAGUAGAGAUGAGGUUUCGCCAUGUUGGCCAGGCUGGUCUCGAACUCCUGACCUCAAGUGAUCCACAGGCGUCGGCCUCCCAAAGUGCUGGGAUUACAGGCGUGAGCCACCAUGCCCGGCCUUACACAGCCAUUUUAAAUAUGGAAAAAAAAAAAGAGGAUUUGAGUUAGUUGCCCUAUCAGUCAGAAAAACAGAACCCACUUUAGGGGGUCCAAUGGGGGAAAUUUUGGAAAGCCAAACAGGAGGCUGGACAGAGGUGGGUUACCCAAACCCAUGGCCUGGGACCACAGAGGUCUAUCUGGAGGGAAUUGUAAGUUUGGAGAAGACCCAGCCACUGCCCAAAGGCUGGAAAAACCCGGGCCUCUUCUAUCUGCCAGUCUCCCUUCAGUGCCUCCCAUUGGCUGGACCUAAUCAACGCCGGUUUGCAAAGGAGCUUGGGAAAUGUAGUUUGAAGGGUUAGUUCCCCCACCUUUCCAGAUGGUGAGCAGAGGAGGGACAGCAAAUGGAUGUGAAAUCAUACAGCAGGCAGGGCAUGGUGGCUCAUGCCUGAAAUCCCAGCACUUUGGGAGGCCAAGGCGGGAAGAUGACUUGAGGCCAGGAGUUUGAGACCAGCCUGGGCAAUAUAACAAGACCCUCAUCUCUACAAAAAAUUUUAAAAAAUUAGCCAGGCAUGGUGGCACACACCUGUAAUCCCAGCUACUAGGAGGCUGAGGUGGAGAAUGGCUUAAGCCCAGAAUUCGAAGCUUCAGUGAGCUAUGAUCGCACCACCGCACUCCAGCCUGGGUGACAGAGCAAGACCCUGUCUCUUAAAAAAAAAAGAAAAAACAUCAUAUGGCAAAUGAGGGUUAUAGUUGUCAACAUGAAAUGACUGGGCGAUUUAGCAUAAAAAUCUGGAUUUAUAGAUUCUCCUGAAACACCAAAGGCUCCACUCCCUUGAGUCCAACAUCUUAGCCUAGUUUUGCUGUUUACAUUGUCCUUGGGGAGCCCUGCUGAGGAGUCCUGAGAAGCCUACAGGGUGAGGGGCAUGAGGGGACCCCAUAUCCUUCAGGGUGGGAUCAGAGGAGGAGAAGCCAUGAGGACCCUGAGGCAGGUGGGCUGAGCAGGCAGGGCCAGGGGAUCCAAUGGGGCCAUCAGUUUCUAGAGAGAGCACAUUGGGGAUCUGGAACUGUGGGGACCUUCCUAUUGUUGCUUUUGUGUGUGUGUGUGUGAGACAGUCUUGCUCUGUCACCCAGGCUGGAGUGCCGUGGUGCGAUCUCAGCUCACUGCAACCUCUGCCUCCCAGGUUCAAGCAGUUCUUUGCCUCAGCUUCCCGAGUAGCUGGGACUACAGGCGCCUGCCACCACUCCCAGCUAAUUUUUGUAUUUUUAGUAGAGAUGGGGUUUCACUAUCUUGGCCAGGCUGGUCUUGAACUCCUGACCUCGUGAUCCACACGCCUCGGCCUCCCAAAGUGCUGAGAUUAUAGGCGUGAGCCACCACGCCUAUUGUAGCUUUUAGAGACUGUCUGGUCUUAACGCAACUGUGAGGGUUGUGUUUGUUCAUUUUAGUUAUCUUUCUGACACUGUCAGGCCCUGUGUUCUAAAUUUUCCAGGAAAGCCCAACGUGUAAACUGAUGACAGACUAUCCUGGAGGAAGAGGUGGGGCAGCCUGGAGUUUUCCUCUGGACAUCCUGAGAGGGAUACUGAAGCACUCAGGAGGGGUCUUAGACCUGCCCAAGCUCACUCACACAGUUUGAGAAGAGCUGCGCUUAGACCACAGGCCUCUUGGCUCCUGGGAAGCUGAGAGCAUCGGCGUGGGAGUUCGUCAGACAGGGGCAAGUUCCAACCGCAGCUCAGUGACCUCAGACAAGCCCCCUCACCUCGCAGAACCAGGUUCUUCUUCAGAGUUGUAGGAAGGAGUGGAGGAGGGUCUCCGCAUGUCAGAUGUCCACACAGUGCCUGGGAGCUGAGGUUGUCAUGGUUACCAAGAGGCCAGUCUCAGGGCUGCUGUGAUGACCUGGGCUGCUCUCCCAUUCCCAAGAAGGGGAGAACUCCUCAGAUUCCCUACUCUGCUCUUCUUGCUCCCUCCCAAGCAAUACAUGAGCAGGAAUUUGUCCUCUGCAGGAAUGUGCAGCGAGAAAGUCUCCUUUUUUGAUGAGACAGCGAUGAGGUGAUGUCUGGUUUUUUAUAUCCUCACUUGCUGAACUGGUGCCAGAUGUAAGAGUCCAGGCUGGAUUCCAUUAGCCAUAUUUGUCCUCUGGGCUCCCAGCCCUGCAGGACCUUCUGGGGGCCCACCUUGAGACCCUCCAGUUGGUAAGAAGUUGGCUGGGGCAAAUGAUGCAGCCCUAAGACGAACCAUUUCCACUGGGGACUCAGGCAGGGUCCCUGAGAGCCUGACUUACUCGAGUCUUUUCUUUAAAAAUUAAAAAAACAAGGCUGGGCGCGGUGGCUCACGCCUGUAAUCCCAGCACUUUGGGAGGCCGAGGCGAGUGGAUCACGAGGUCAGGAGAUUGAGCCCAUCCUGGCUAACAUGGUGAAACCCCUUCUCUACUAAAAAUACAAAAAAUUAGUCGGGCAUGGUGGUGGGCACCUGUAGUCCCAGCUACUCAGGAGGCUGAGGCAGGAGAAUGGCGUGAACCCGGGAGGUGGAGGUUGCAGUGAGCCGAGAUCGCACCACUGCACUCCAGCCUGGGCAACACCGUGAGACGCCAUCUCAAAAAAAAAAAAAAAUUAACAAAACACAUUGAUCUUUUUUUUUUAUUUUUACCGAAGUAAGAAACCCUUUGAAGUUUAGGAGCUGCAACUAAUCCACGUUGAAGGCUAAUCGGAGGCCUAGAUAGGUUAAUACCUUUCCCAGAGGAACCCAGUGGUAAAUGUAAAUGUCAGAUUGAUCAAUUGUAGAUUGAACUUCAGAAGCUGGAGUCCUCAUUACUAUUCUGGGGUGAUGGUCGACUCUAUUUGCUCAACAGAAGGAUCAGUGGCCUGGAGAAUUUGAGAUAGUUGGUGAUAACAUUAUAGGAUUCUAUUUUAAAUGGGAAAGAAAUUCCUAAAAGUUAAACGCAUGUUAAAAAAAACUAUAUUAAGGCCGGGUACAGUGGCUCUUGCCUGUAAUCCCAGCACUCUGGGAAGCCGAGGUGGGAGGAUCGCUUGAGCCUAGGAGUUCCAGAUUAGCCUGGGCAACACAGUGAGACCCCAUCUCUAAAAAAAAGAACAAAAUUAGCUGGCAUGUCAUUGUGCACUUGUAGUCUCAGCUCCUUGGGAGGCUGAGGUGGGAGGAUUGCUUGAGCACAGAAGGGUGAGGCUGCAGUGAACUGUGAUCACACCACUGUGCUCCAGCCUGGGUGACAGAACAAUACCUUGUCUCAAAAAUAAAAAAAUUCAUAUACAAAAAUGCCUGAGGUAUACAAUGAAAGCUCUUGAAAGCCACUGUCUACAGAUAAGCAUUAGAGCCACUUACACAGAUUUUUUCAGAUUUUUCUAUGCAUUUAUAUGUUAAAAUUUAUAUUUUUAAAAGAUUAACACUAUACAUUCUGUUUUGCAGUUUGCUUUUGCAAAUAGCAGUAGCUCCUGAAAUGUGGAAAUUCUUUACCUGGCUGAUUCAUGACAAACUUGGUGGGAGAAGUAGCUGGUAAAGUUUUAUGCAAAAUUGUGUGUUGUGUGUAUGUGAGCAUUCUUUAGAAAUAGUGACUAUGAUUCUCAUCAGAAUCUUAGGAAAGAUUCAGACCCAAGACCCUUGAUUUCAGAUGGGGAAGGGACUCAGUCCUCGGGCUGGCCUUGAAGGAUGAGGACAAGAAUGCUGCAGUCGCCUGGCCCUGGGCAUCCUGCCCUGGCCUUGGAGAGGAGCUGCAUUCUGCAGAGCCAGAAGGAGGACAAGAGAGGCAGCCUGCCCAAGCACCAGGCUGAGCCUCUGCAGUCCCUGCCAGGAGAAGACUUACAGCCGCCGGGAGCUUGGGAAGGUUACAGAGAAAAAGCCUCUCGCAGCACUUGGGAGGACACUGCCUGCAGCACCGCGCCUGCUGUGGGCCUGCUCCAGGGUCAGGGAAGCCUCUGAGGGACAGGCUUGGGGCACAAGGGUGGGUGAGGGGCAGGGGAGAGAGUGUACUCUCUGGGCCAGGACCCCGGCACACCUAGCACACAGACCAUGGGGAGGGUGCCAAACACAGGACUUGGCUACAUUUUGUUACUGUCACUUUGAGUAUUACCUGUGCAAUCGAGCAGGCUUUAUGGAUCUCAGACUGCCCAGGACUUUUCUGGCUGCUAUGGGAGGAUGUAAGAUUUACCAAGAACACCAGCCACCACCCAGAAAGCAGGUUUCUCAUGUGAGCCCUGCGCCAAGCACUGUAUGUGCACAUGCCAGAUUUUAAUUUGCUGUGGGGAGGUGCUUUUAUACUCGCCACUUGACAGUGGCCCCCAAAAAGCCAAGAAACCUGUCCAAGGCCCAUGGGAUCAGCAGGUGUUGAUUUAAUACUGGUACCCCCAGUUGCAGAGUCCCCAGCCUCAACCAUAGGCACUCUCCUCUGCCCCCCGGGGAGGGACUGCCACCCUGACUCAGGGAUGACCUCUGCGAGAUGAGAGCAGAGGGGUUUUGUUCUGUUUCAACCUUUUUUGUUGUUUGUUUUUGAGACGGAGUUUUUGCUGUGUUGCCCAGGCUGGAGUGCAGUGGUGCAAUCUCAGCUCACUGCAGCCUCCACCUCCUGGGUUUAAGCAAUUCUCCUGCCUCAGCCUCCUGAGUAGCUGGGAUUACAGAUGCAUCUCACCAUACCCAGCUAAUUUUUUGUGUUUUUAGUAGAGAUGGGGUUUCACCAUGUUGGCCAGGCUGGUCUCAAACUCCUGACCUCAGGUGAUCCACCCACCUCGACCUCCCAAAGUGCUAGGAUUACAAGUGUGAGCCACUGAGCCCGGCCUCAACCUUUUUUUAUUAUUAUUUUUUGAGAUGGAGUCUCACUCCAUCGCUAGGCUGGAGUGCAGUGGCACAAUCUCGGCUCACUGCAACCUCCACCUCCUGGGUUCAAGUGAUUCUCCUGCCUCAGCCUCCUGAGUAGCUGGGACUACAGGCGCCCGCCACUACACCCGGCUAAUUUUUUGUACUUUUAGUAGAGAUGGGGUUUCACCAUGUUGGCCAGGAUGGUCUCAAUCUCCUGACCUCGUGAUCCACUCACCUCAGCCUCCCAAAGUGCUGGUAUUACAGGUGUGAGCCAUCGCGCUUGGCUUUUUUUUUUUUUUUUUUUUAAACCACAAGCAUGUGUCACUUUUAUAGUUAAGAGGAAAAACAAACUUUUUCUAAAAAUCUGUAUUUCUGAAAUGGUUAGCAGGAGCCCAGCUGAGUCUGGGGUGCUGCAGGCCUCCUGCCUGUGGGGACCUCUCCUAGGCACCUCCUUUCUUAGACCCAUCCUUAGGGCUGGGAGAAACUCCUUCCACAGUGUUCUUGGCUUCAAAGCAGGGCAGGCUUCCCAGAUGGGGAAGCUCAUAGGCUGGUGGGGGUGAGGUGCGGUGGGGAGCGGCAGAGAGACCUUCCAGGCCAGGUGUCCAGCCUAGAAAAAGGCUCAGAAGUGUGCAUGAGUGUGAGCUGUUGUUGGGAAUAAGAAGAUUGUCCCAGGAGGGCCCAGUAUGCACUAGAGGCUUAUAAGUAAUACUGCUGGGGGCCAGGUGUGGUGGCACGCACCUGUAAUCCCAGCGCUUUGGGAGGCCAAGGUGGGCAGAUCACCUGAGGUCAGGAGUUCGAGACCAGCCUGGCCAACAUGGUGAAAUCCUGUCUCUACUAAAAAUACAAAAAUUAGCCAGGCGUGGUGGUGGGAGCCUGUAAUGCCAGCUAUUUAGGAGGCUGAGAUAUGAGAAUCACUUGAACCCAGGAGGCAGAGGUUUCAGUGAGCUGAGAUUACACUGCUGCACUCCAGCCUGGGUGACAGAGUGAGACUCCUCAAAAAAAACAACAACAACAACAACAAAAAGAAAUAGGCCGGGCAUGGUGGCUCAUACCUAUAAUCCCAGCACUUUGGGAGGCCGAGGUGGGUGGAUAACCUGAGGUCAGGAGUUCGAGACCAGCCUGGCCAACAUGUUGAAACCCUGUCUCUACUAAAAAUACAAAAAUUAGGCAGGCGUGGUGGCACGCACCUGUAGUCCCAGCUACUCAGUGGGCUGAGGCAUGAGAAUCGCUUGAACCCAGGAGGCGGAGAUUGCAGUGAGCUGAGAUCGUGCCACUGCACUCCAGCUUGGGCAACAGAGCAAGACUCUGUCAAAAAAAAAAAAGAGAAAGAGAAAAGAAAGAAAAAAGAAUGAAAGAAAGAGAA
Molecule: long non-coding RNA, 28894 nt
Filed under: Homo sapiens (human)
Lineage: Eukaryota; Metazoa; Chordata; Mammalia; Primates; Hominidae
Description: non-protein coding RFPL1S:18
Source: RNAcentral